ACCUAAACUAACAUCUGAAG
Molecule: unclassified non-coding RNA, 20 nt
Filed under: Dictyostelium discoideum
Lineage: Eukaryota; Evosea; Eumycetozoa; Dictyosteliales; Dictyosteliaceae
Source: RNAcentral